Pyrus x bretschneideri (Chinese white pear) is the source of this 1944-nucleotide long non-coding RNA. RefSeq lists it as uncharacterized. The transcript is spliced from 2 exons. The record is from RefSeq and is a predicted model, not a curated record. Lineage: Eukaryota; Viridiplantae; Streptophyta; Magnoliopsida; Rosales; Rosaceae.
UACAACGUUGACAAAUACAUUUUCAAGCAAUGAAGACACAAAUAUUCAAAGGUAUGUAAAAUUAAUUAGUACUUUGUUAACUUUGUUUUAUUGACGUUCUACACUUAAUUACAAUUUUUACUAGGCUUUCUCUUUAGGCGAAUUAGCUAUUACUAAUAUAUAUAUAUAUAUAUAUAUAUAUAAACUAGCUUCUUUUCACUAGAGAUAAAAGUAUAAAAGUAGACAUUUGCACUAGAGAUAUACCCGCUCCACAUAUUUUAAUCUAAUAUGUUCUUUCACAGAUUUACAAAAUAUGGGCAGGAUUUAUCAUUAGUGAAAGGAUGUCUGUUUAUACUUUUGAAUAUUGGCCUUAAACCUUUCACUAGACAAACAAAUAAUAAGCCAUGUAUUCACAAUAAGUUAGAAGAAGAAGGUAUCUAUAUAAAUUGAUAAUAGUUAAUUCCUGUAAAGAGAAAAGAUGGAAAUGAUUAUUCUUACUCCAGAUAAUCAAAACUAAGUUUACCAAUUUACAUAAAUCUGAUCCGUCUUAGAGCGCCAUUUAAUUUUGUUUUAAAAAUUAUAAAAUUGGCAAAUAAACUGCUAUUUAAUCAUAGCAUGAUUUGCAACACUUUCGUAACUCUCUCUGUUUCUGUGCUUUUCUCUUGGUUUUUAUAGUUUUUUAGUGAUUGCUGUGCCACAAACCAUUUGGCCUGAUUUAACUCCCAUAUUUUAAAUAAUUUGUUUGUCCCGCCAUUAAUUUUUUAAUUAUUAUUUUUUCUCUCUGUCCCACAAAUGUUGUUGCUUGGCCUCUGAUUGUUUUAAUUUUUGGUUAUACUCCGCUUUUUGGGCCUCUGUCUUCCACGUGUUGAUCAUUGUGCGGGUUCUGUUCAGAGGCUGAUUGUUUUAUUUUUUGGUUUUGCUCUGAUUUUUCAGCCUCUGUCUUCCACGUGUUGAUCAUCGAGAACUAUUCUAUUUAGAGGCCUUAAUGCUUUUUCUUUUGUUUUCAUUGCAUUCUCUCCUCACUUUUUCCUUUUGUUUUUCCGCUUCUCUCUACCUCUCAUAUGCGUUGCUCAUAUAGUGAUUUGGUCUUCUGAUUCUUCAGUGCAAUGGGGCUCUGUACCUUUGCUGAUGUUUCUGGCCGGUUGGUUGGGCGGCUUCCUCUAAUGGGGUACGCUUCUGUUAUUUUGUUAUAUGUUCUUUUGCUAUUCAUUCACUCAAAAUUCCAAAAAUCGAAUAUAGUAAAAUAGUAGGUCAAAUUCAUUAAUGUUAUCUUAACUUCUGUUUAAUAGAUUUAUAUUGUUGCAUGUUUGAUUUUAUUUUAUUUUUUUAAUUUAUUUAUUUUUUUUGCGUGUUUGAUUUUAUGAAUUUUUGCUGUUUGUUUUGUUAAUUGCAAAUUUAUAGUGUUUGAUUGAUUUCGGUGAGGGUGAGUUGUUAAGUUUUCCUUUAUUUAUUCAUGAUGUUUUAUAAAUGAUUGCAUGUUCUAUAUCUAAUUUCACUAACUCUUCGGGUGUAUUUUUCACAGUGGUUGUUCAUUUUUUCUGUUAUCAGUGCUUACCACCUGUUUGAGAAUAUGUAUUAAAUUGGCCUUUUUUUAGAUUAUUGAUAUGUUUUGGAUGUUUUUUGGUUUGUCGUGUGUAAGAAUGUGAAAUCAACUAUAUAAGGUAGUCCAUUUCAAUAUAGCAGUAGCAGCUGCAGGAACUACAACAGUAGCAGCUGCUGGGAUUCUAGAUGGAUGAAGAGGAGUGGGGUUAUAUUGAAGUCAGACCCAAGCGCAUAUGUUCUGCUGUUCAAGCCAAAUGGCCAACCACUCUCUAGCAUCAAAGUGGACCAUUGAGUAUUACCAAACUUUAUCAAAUCAAAUAAUAUGAACAACUCAUCUUCUUUUCAACAUAUUUUUCCGACAUUUUUUUCAUGUAUCAAUGAUUAUUUUUCCAAAAUUUGAACCCAAGAAUCUAAAUGUGUUAC